RNAcentral lists this unclassified non-coding RNA (238 nucleotides) under Glomus sp. Its description in RNAcentral is "partial contains 5.8S ribosomal RNA and internal transcribed spacer 2". The stretch from base 1 to 65 matches the Rfam family "5.8S ribosomal RNA", at positions 84 to 154 of the family's 154-position model. Lineage: Eukaryota; Fungi; Glomeromycota; Glomeromycetes; Glomerales; Glomeraceae. The record is from RNAcentral.
GUGAAUCAUCGAAUUUUUGAACGCAAAUUGCACUCUCUUCGGAGAGUAUGACUGUUUGAGGGUCAGCAUAAAAAAAAUCUACAUAGUCGGUGUUUUGCGGUGACAUUCGGCGGAAAUUGGGUAAUCUUAAACUUUUGGGUUUUAAGCGGGUUAAAAUUUUUUUUACGAUUGCACGAACGUUUUUAAGAUUGACUUAUUACACGUUUAAGGUAAUGAUUUUUAUUAGACGUUGCAGUUG